ACCUGCUCCCCUCGGGACCAAGACCAGAGGAAUUUAAUAUACUGCCUUUCCCUUCAACUAAUAACCCAAGCUGCCCAAGAAUGGGAGGCCUCUGCUGUCCUGGGAGGGCUCCAUCCUGCAGAUAUGAGUGAGGGGCUGUCCGUUCAGCCUCCAGAAACCAAGAAUCUCACGCCUGCGUAUAACAGGGAAACCCACCCUGUACAGGCCGACUUUGGAAAAGGAGCUCAGAUGGAAAUACCCAUAGUUUGCUAGCUGGGCAUUGUUGAAGGAUGUGUCAAGGAUGGUGCCAGAUCUCAGGAACUAGAGAAGGCUACCUGAGAGGACUCCUGGGAGGAUUAGCUACAUACCCAUGUGCAGAGCCAGCUCCAGGGAUCAUAGGGUUCUGUGUCAGAGGCCACCCAAGCCAGUCUGCAUUCUCUCAUGACAUGACGUCCCUCAUGACUGAAGACACAGCCUUCCAUCCCAAGGCUCACUGUUUUUCCACACUUCCUGCCUCCUGUGCCCCACUGAUUGCUGCCUGGUCUCUUACCCCACUUUCGGUCGUCCCCUCUGGCAGCUCUGGAGCGUGAGUCUGUCCUCCCACGUGGCCUGGUGACUUCUUUCCUACUUCCUUCCCUUAUGAGUUCUGGCCUCCCCCAGCUCCCAGCCUUUCUGGAAGCUCUAGUCCCAACGCUGUGGACAGAAACAUCAUUUAUUCUCCAGAGGGGGAAGAGACCGAGUACGGCUUACACAGCAUCUGGCCAGUGGCAUUGCCUGGGAAGUCCUCCCUGCCUACCCUUGGUGGUCAGUAUCUCUUUCUCCUCGACCUCCAGGCUUCUACUGCUGAAGCUUGGAGAGUUUGCGGGACUGGACUUCUGGGGCCAGGCAGAGAGAGGCAAAGCCAGCCUGGGGACUCAGAGCCUCUGAGAUGCCAGGCCUCAAGCCUAACCCUGGAAGGACAAGCAAGAAACUGGGCUUUCCUGCUGGGGGGAAGGCACAGGCUGGAGUGUCUCAGGGAGGGAAGAGAGCCAUGAUCCAAGUCACCUCCUCAGUGCCACGCCCACUUUAUGUCACUGUCCCAGGCCCUGGUGAGCUGUCCUGCUGGAUCCACCCAGAGUACCUAGAUAAAGGUCUCUAACUGUUGAGGUGCAUGUGUGGGUUUCCUGACUGUCACAGUGGCCCCCCCGUAAAGAGGGGAGGUGCCAUCUUCCCCUUUUACAGAACCUCAGCUCCUUCUGCUUAAGGGAAAGAGCCAGAGAGGACCUCCUGAUUUCCUCCAUGACCAACUUGCCCAUUUUUUCCCCAGGUCUCAGGUCACUGGGGUCUGUGAACAAGCAGGAUUGUGAUAUCCCCGGACAUAUUGACAUCACAGUCCUCCCUACUUCAGUUGAUACUGUUUGCUCUGAAACCGGCUACCCCUAAUCAGCUGCACCAGCCUCUCCAGCCGUCGUCACCAGAUAUGAUGAACUUUACCUUGUUGAGUGUUGGGUGUCUUGUUUUGCUAGCUGCCUAUUUGCAGGCUCCAUUCUGGGACACAGCUAAGCCCCUUGGAAGCACUCAGCUCUAUUGAAGCUCUGCCUUAAGAAUUUCAUCCUUGAGACAGGAGCAGUCUGGUUCAUCUUUCCCUUCCAUGGAAAAGCUCUCUUCUCUGGUGCUGUGGGCUGAGGAUUCCAGACACCUUGGUCUCCUGAAAUGUCAGCUUUGUCAGCUGACCUCCAGGCUUUGCUGGGCUUGGAGAACGAUGUUCUUCCCAGGCCCGUGGACUGGAAAUUCCGGGCUGCAUGCCAGGGCGACUGUGGGUUCACUUCAUUUGUUCCCCAUCUCUCUUCAUUGCCUGAUGUCCCAUCUUUGUAAAGUGCUAUAUUAUAUACCAUCAGCCUCCGUCCCCACGAGUCCCUCAUCCAAGAAUAAGAAAAGCUGCAAGAGACUCGAUCUGGAGGCUAGCCCAGCUACAGAUCUGGAGGCUAGCCCAGCUCCAGGCCUGUCACUGUAUUCCUUGAAGUUUCAGAUCUGAAAACAUCUAGACCUAGCUCCAGAUACAGGGAAUUCCCUUCCCCUCGCCAGGUCCUCCUUCCCUGUGCACCCCAAGACAUCAGUGCUUGUGGAGGACCCUGGAAGCAAGCUCCUGCAGGUAUCCAGGGAAAAGCCAUCUGUCUAUUGGAGUGUGGUGGUAACUGAGACAGGGUCUAGAAUCAGCUGGGAGAGAGAACUCUGGCACACCUUGAUUAUAUUAAUUGAUCUGAGAAGAUACAUCUUAACUGUGGGCGGGAUCCUGGACUGUAUAAAUGGAGAAAGUUAGUAGGCAGCCAUGUGCACUCAUUCCCCUGGUGCCGGAUUGUGGAUGCGAUGUGACCAGCUGCUUGGACCUCUGCUGCCUUGACUUCCCCCAUGGCGACGGAUUGUCCCUUGGAGCUGUGCAUUAGUUACUGUCUACCGCUGUGAUGUAACAUCAUUUUCAAGGCUUAUGAUCCCAGGGAGAUGAGUCCAUGAUGACACGAACAGAGGCGUGGCAGCUGGAGCUGGAAGCAGAGCCUCACAUCCAAAUCACAGGCAGGAAACAGAGAACUCAAGCUGGGGGUGGGCGGGCCGUAAACUCUCGGAGCCCGCCCCUAAUGAUGCGCUGCCUCCAACAAGGCCACACCUCCUAAGCGUCCCCAAACUCUGUGGAUCAUAUCUUAUUCAAACCACCACAAACAGGUAGGCUAAAAUAAGCCCUUUCUCGCUCGGUUGCUUUUGUCCUAGUAUCCUGUCACUGACGUAGUUAAAGAAAUCAAGACAACAAAGGGAAAGUGACUCUCAUCCCCGCCGCUCCCUCUCAUUGCUGAAAGAAAAGCACCAAGCUACAACAAUUCCCCCAUUGUUUAAGUGGGAAAACUGAGGCUCUGAGGUACAGAAAUUUUCACUAUGUCCUACAGCAAGUUGGGACGUCUAGAACCUGCUUCACCCCCUCUGUGGGAUUCCCCACCCAAGAGAUCACUUGCAGAUAGUUCCCAGAAGGCAGUUUUAGGCAUGGAACCCCCCUUGCCACACAGUGCAGUGGAGUUAGGGGUGUGACAGGUACUUUUCCCCACUCUGUCCCCAACCCUUCCUCAGUACAGCUCUGUGGGAAGCUAAGUGUCACCUGACACCUCCAGCUACAGGAAGUACUUCAGGAAGCCUACCAGUGCACACAGAGUUGAGCAUAUAAGUAAUCAUGGAGAUUUUCUUCAUUCGUGCAGUUGUGAGCAUCCUGACCUGUCAUACAGGACCAUGGCCGUCCUCUGAGAGGCUUCAUCCAGCAGCUGACUGAGACAGAUGCAGACACCCACAGCCUAACAGUGGAUGGAGCUUGGGGACUCUUAUGGAAGAAUCAGAGGAAGGAUUGUGGGUCCCAACGGAGGAUCCCAUCCCAGGGAAAUCUACCCAACCAUCCCUCCCCCGUGCAGAUAAAGCAACAAUGAGAAGCCCUGAGAUACACUCCUCAUCAUCCCCCAAAGGUGAAAUAAAUCUUUCUAGCUGUGACCAGUGGACAUCUCCUGCCCCCUGCCCCUGCCAUGGUAGUGCUCAUCAGCGGAGGGAACAGGAACAGGUGAGUACUGGAAGACGGUACACUGUGUGUUAAGGGCUGUGCUUGGCGACCUGCUGAGCAGGGACUGAUCAGAAGGAGCAGGAGUACAGAGGCCUGAAGCGUGGCGGUCUGCUGGUGCUGGAGCCCCAGGUUCUCACCUCUGAGUAAGGAGUACCUGGGAACAGAGGUAGCCACCAGCUGCCCAUCCCAGGCCCUCUCAGGGGACUCACCUAUCUGGGUGCUGGGAGGUGAGGCGGUCCCACCCACUGCCUGAUGUGUGCUUUCUUGGUGCAGACCAGAGCCACUGGGCAUCCCCUCCUCUGGUCUCCCCUUGCCUGACCUCACCUGCAACCUCCUCCAUGCCUGUUGAUGGUCUUUUAGGGAACUCCACGAACCAGCCUUAUGCCCUUGAGUCUGGAAGCUGACAGUGUGACCACUAAGACCCUCUUAUGAGAGGCCAGGGAGAGGAUACCUUCCAGAUCUCUGUAUGAACAGCGCCUCCACCAGGAACAGGCAGAGGGUUUCCUGCACUGUCCCUGAGAGACUGGCACUUAGGUCCAGAGGCAGAGGCAGAGUUUUGCUUUGGUGGCAGGUGAGCCCCUCUCUCCUUCUGUCCUGGGGUUUCUAUUGCCGCAGUGAGACACCACGACCAAAAAGCAAGUUGGAGAGGAAAGGGUUAUUUAGCCUGCAGUUCCAUACUGCUGUUCAUCAUCAAAGGAAGUCAGGGCAUAAAAAUGGUCCCCGUAGGCUCAUAGCAGGUAGCACUAUUAGUGGGUGUGGCCUAGUUGGAGUGGGUGUGGCUUUAUUGGAGGAAGUGUGUCACUAGAGGUGGGCUUUGGGGUUUCAGAUGCUCAAGCCAGGCCCAGUGUCAUGUUCUCUUCCAGCUGCCUGCUGUUCUAGCAGCAUGUCUGCAUGUCACCAUGCUUCCCGACAUGAUGAUAAUGGACUGAACCUCUGAACCUCUAAGCCGGCCCCAAUUAAAUGUUGUCCUUC
Molecule: long non-coding RNA, 4519 nt
Filed under: Mus pahari (shrew mouse)
Lineage: Eukaryota; Metazoa; Chordata; Mammalia; Rodentia; Muridae
Description: predicted gene 831 (MGP_PahariEiJ_G0006252.1)
Source: RNAcentral